Molecule: unclassified non-coding RNA, 277 nt
Filed under: Clostridioides difficile
Lineage: Bacteria; Bacillati; Bacillota; Clostridia; Peptostreptococcales; Peptostreptococcaceae
Description: 16S-23S ribosomal RNA intergenic spacer (ISR)
Source: RNAcentral
ACCUACUGUUUAAUUUUGAGGGUUCGUUUUUACGAAUACUCAAAAUUAGCACUUUAAGCAACGGAAUUUAUUCGUUGGCGCUGUGCUUUAGCACUUUUAGCAACAGAAUAAACCGAACGCAUGUGAAGUUUGUUUGUUGGCGCUGUGCGUUAGCACUUUGAAAACUGCAUAUAUAUUUAGUGAUAUGACAUCUAAUUUGUAAUAUAUAAAGCUGAUAACUUUUUAAAAUUAUCGAAGUUGAUAGCUUCUAAUCUAUCAAACAUUUUUAACUGGUCAA